This 450-nucleotide ribosomal RNA is filed under the name uncultured organism. RNAcentral describes it as "partial 16S ribosomal RNA". It matches the Rfam family "Bacterial small subunit ribosomal RNA", at positions 334 to 800 of the family's 1533-position model. The record is from RNAcentral.
CACUCCUGCGGGAGGCAGCAGUGGGGAAUAUUGGACAAUGGGCGCAAGCCUGAUCCAGCCAUGCCGCGUGAGUGAUGAAGGCCCUAGGGUUGUAAAGCUCUUUCACCGGUGAAGAUAAUGACGGUAACCAGAGAAGAAGCCCCGGCUAACUUCGUGCCAGCAGCCGCGGUAAUACGAAGGGGGCUAGCGUUGUUCGGAUUUACUGGGCGUAAAGCGCACGUAGGCGGACUAUUAAGUCAGGGGUGAAAUCCCGGGGCUCAACCCCGGAACUGCCUUUGAUACUGGUAGUCUUGAGUUCGAGAGAGGUGAGUGGAAUUCCGAGUGUAGAGGUGAAAUUCGUAGAUAUUCGGAGGAACACCAGUGGCGAAGGCGGCUCACUGGCUCGAUACUGACGCUGAGGUGCGAAAGCGUGGGGAGCAAACAGGAUUAGAAACCCCAGUAGUCCCAUGA